GCAUAUCAAUAAGCGGAGGAAAAAGAAACCAACAGGGAUUGCCUUAGUAGCGGCGAGUGAAGCGGCAAGAGCUCAAAUUUGAAAUCUGGUACCUUCGGUGCCCGAGUUGUAAUUUGAAGAAGGAUAUCUUGAGUUUGGCCUUUGUCUAUGUUCCUUGGAACAGGACGUCACAGAGGGUGAGAAUCCCGUGCGAUGAGGUGUCCAAAUUCUUAUAAGAUUCCUUCGAAGAGUCGAGUUGUUUGGGAAUGCAGCUCUAAGUGGGUGGUAAAUUCCAUCUAAAGCUAAAUAUUGGCGAGAGACCGAUAGCGAACAAGUACAGUGAUGGAAAGAUGAAAAGAACUUUGAAAAGAGAGUGAAAAAGUACGUGAAAUUGUUGAAAGGGAAGGGUAUUAGAUCAGACUUGGUAUUUAGUUAUCGCUUCUCCUUGUGGGUUGUGCUCUAGCUGUUUACUGGGCCAGCAUCAGUUUUGGUGGCAGGAUAAUGACAUUUGAACGUGGCUCUUCGGAGUGUUAUAGCUUUUGUUGAUACUGCCCACCGGGACUGAGGUCUGCGGCUUUUGCCUAGGAUGCUGGCGUAAUGAUCCAAUACCGCCCGUCUUGAAACAUGGACCAAGGAGUCUAACGUCUAUGCGAGUGUUUGGGUGUAAAACCCGUACGCGUAAUGAAAGUGAACGUAGAUCAGGGCCCUUUGCGGGGUGCACGAUCGACCGAUCCUGAUGUUUUCAGAUGGAUUUGAGUAAGAGCAUAGCUGUUGGGACCCGAAAGAUGGUGAACUAUGCCUGAAUAGGGUGAAGCCAGAGGAAACUCUGGUGGAGGCUCGUAGCGGUUCUGACGUGCAAAUCGAUCGUCGAAUUUGGGUAUAGGGGGCGAAAGACUAAUCGAACCAUCUAGUAGCUGGUUCCUGCCGA
Molecule: ribosomal RNA, 907 nt
Filed under: Ogataea arabinofermentans
Lineage: Eukaryota; Fungi; Ascomycota; Pichiomycetes; Pichiales; Pichiaceae
Description: LSU rRNA
Rfam family: Eukaryotic large subunit ribosomal RNA
Source: RNAcentral